AGAGUUUGAUCCUGGCUCAGAUUGAACGCUGGCGGAAUGCUUUACACAUGCAAGUCGAACGGCAGCACGGGAGCUUGCUCCUGGUGGCGAGUGGCGAACGGGUGAGUAAUGCGUCGGAACGUACCGAGUAAUGGGGGAUAACGCAGCGAAAGCUGCGCUAAUACCGCAUACGCCCUGAGGGGGAAAGCAGGGGAUCGUAAGACCUUGCGUUAUUCGAGCGGCCGACGUCUGAUUAGCUAGUUGGUGGGGUAAAGGCCUACCAAGGCGACGAUCAGUAGCGGGUCUGAGAGGAUGAUCCGCCACACUGGAACUGAGACACGGUCCAGACUCCUACGGGAGGCAGCAGUGGGGAAUUUUGGACAAUGGGGGCAACCCUGAUCCAGCCAUUCCGCGUGAGUGAAGAAGGCCUUCGGGUUGUAAAGCUCUUUCAGCCGGAAAGAAACGGUGCGCUCUAACAUAGCGUGCUAAUGACGGUACCGGCAGAAGAAGCACCGGCUAACUACGUGCCAGCAGCCGCGGUAAUACGUAGGGUGCGAGCGUUAAUCGGAAUUACUGGGCGUAAAGCGUGCGCAGGCGGAUUGUUAAGCAAGAUGUGAAAUCCCCGGGCUUAACCUGGGAAUGGCAUUUUGAACUGGCAGUCUAGAGUGUGUCAGAGGGGGGUGGAAUUCCACGUGUAGCAGUGAAAUGCGUAGAUAUGUGGAGGAAUACCGAUGGCGAAGGCAGCCCCCUGGGAUAAUACUGACGCUCAUGCACGAAAGCGUGGGGAGCAAACAGGAUUAGAUACCCUGGUAGUCG
Molecule: ribosomal RNA, 795 nt
Filed under: uncultured bacterium
Lineage: Bacteria
Description: bacterial SSU rRNA
Rfam family: Bacterial small subunit ribosomal RNA
Source: RNAcentral